Molecule: unclassified non-coding RNA, 400 nt
Filed under: Hevea brasiliensis (rubber tree)
Lineage: Eukaryota; Viridiplantae; Streptophyta; Magnoliopsida; Malpighiales; Euphorbiaceae
Source: RNAcentral
CUAAAUAAUUAUUUAAUUUUGAUUAUGAAAAAAGUUAUAAUGUAAUUUUGGUGAUAGAAAAGUAAUUAUUUUCCAGUUGGAAAAUGAAACUUUUGUUAUAAAGGAAAACAAUUUCCAAAUCUUAGUUAAAUUUUAGAAAAAACUGGCGCAUGUGAAUACGAGAUUCUAUUUUCCAAUUUUCUUAGAAAAUUGUUCUAGAAAGGUGCUCCUGUUUUCCACUAGUGAACAAGCCUUAAGCCUUCGGUUUUGGUGCAACCAUGUAUUGGGUAUGUUAUGCAUAGUUUUUAUUUUAAAUGCUGCAGUUCUGACCUGAUGCUGUUUGCAGUUAUGUGGUGGUAAGCCUUCUGAGGGUAUAUUUGUUGGUGCUAUCCUUUCGAUGUCUUCAACAGCAGUGGUUUUA